CAUCGGGUGGGCGAGGUGGUAGCCCUGGGCGUUGACGACGCCGAGGCGGGCCAGUUCGGACAGCUGUGCGGCGUUCUCGACACCUUCGGCGG
RNAcentral lists this transfer RNA (92 nucleotides) under Catellatospora coxensis. Its description in RNAcentral is "tRNA-Val". The record is from RNAcentral. Lineage: Bacteria; Bacillati; Actinomycetota; Actinomycetes; Micromonosporales; Micromonosporaceae.